Molecule: ribosomal RNA, 520 nt
Filed under: uncultured Glomus
Lineage: Eukaryota; Fungi; Glomeromycota; Glomeromycetes; Glomerales; Glomeraceae
Description: SSU rRNA
Rfam family: Eukaryotic small subunit ribosomal RNA
Source: RNAcentral
AGCAGCCGCGGUAAUUCCAGCUCCAAUAGCGUAUAUUAAAGUUGUUGCAGUUGAAAAGCUCGUAGUUGAAUUUCGGGGUUAGUAGGUUGGUCAUGCCUCUGGUAUGUACUGGUCUCACUGAUUCCUCCUUCCUUAUGAACCGUAAUGCCAUUAAUUUGGUGUUGCGGGGAAUUUGGACUGUUACUCUGAAAAAAUUAGAGUGUUUAAAGCAAGCUAACGCUUGAAUACAUUAGCAUGGAAUAAUGAAAUAGGACGUUCGAUCUUAUUUUGUUGGUUUCUAGGAUUGACGUAAUGAUUAAUAGGGAUAGUUGGGGGCAUUAGUAUUCAAUUGUCAGAGGUGAAAUUCUUGGAUUUAUUGAAGACUAACUACUGCGAAAGCAUUUGCCAAGGAUGUUUUCAUUAAUCAAGAACGAAAGUUAGGGGAUCGAAGACGAUCAGAUACCGUCGUAGUCUUAACCAUAAACUAUGCCGACUAGGGAUCGGAUGAUGUUAAUUUUUAAUGACUCAUUCGGCGCCUUAA